GUGAGUGAAUGAGACAUCAAGGAGGAGGGGCCCCAGGGAACUUUUCGCACCGGGUCCAGUGGAUUCUAGUUGCACCUCUGCUCCAACAUUUAACAUCCACUACUCUAUGGUCAGGAUAAUUACUCCUGACUGUUGUGCACGUCUGAUCUGCAACUACAGGAAACGUUUGGUUGAAGUUAUUGCUGCCAAAGGAGGUUCAACCAGUUAUUAAAUCCAAGGGCUCACAUACUUUUUCCACCUGCACUAUGAAUGUUUACAUGGUGUGUUCAAUAAAAACAUGGC
Molecule: non-coding RNA, 282 nt
Organism: Pelobates cultripes (western spadefoot toad)
Lineage: Eukaryota; Metazoa; Chordata; Amphibia; Anura; Pelobatidae
Source: the annotation of a GenBank genome assembly